CGCGCCCCGACGCCGCCGCCCCACCCCGCUCCGCACCGCCGCGGGCCGGGGGCAUCUUGCCGGUGAGUGCCCUGGGCCGCCCCCAACCCUUCCAGGGUCACCGCCACUGCGGACCCCGCGAGGCGGAAUAGAGCCACCCCCAGGCCUGGUCCCUGGGGACCAGAGCCAGCACACCCGGCCUAUGAGCAGCCCUGGGACCCUCCAGGGCCCCGCCUCCAGCGUCCAGGGCCCCCAGCCCCAGCACAGCCCCGGGGUCAGCGUAGCAGUGACGUCACGGCAGGAGUCCGAUACAACAUCCACCCUGACCAGGGGUGACAGCCACCCACGAGGAAACUUGGGUGAGGCACAGACGCCAGCUGCUUCUGCAAGGACCUACGCUUUAGUGACCCCAGCCAAACUGUCAGUGCAAAAAAGAGAAGGAAAUGGAGAAAAUGCCAGUGACAGAGCUGGGGUAGUGAAAGCGGAGUUUAAACUCACUUGUGAGAGCACAUCAGCACACACAGGAGGAGGCAGGAGAGAGGCAGGAGGGCAGGAGCUCAGAGGAGCCCCGAAGGCGGCUUCCCAGGCCUACCUCCCGGACGCCUGAGGACGGAACCCUGGGACGCUCCCAAGGUUGACAGGCCAGAUGAGGCGCGUGCAGAGGGUUUUCCCCAUGAGCAGGUGAGAUUCCCACUGACCCCGGCUGGCCUGGCGGCACCAACCAGACACAGAACAUCAGUGGAACCCAAGGCCAGACACAGUCACCCAGCACAGGAGCCUGCGGGAGACCCACACCGCAGGCCACCAGGGCAGAUGGACGCCUUCAGCAUCACCACAACCGAAGAAGAGCCGCUGGCCACUGUCACUCGGGCGUGGAGGCAGGGCCCCCCGACACCGGCCACGGCAGGAGCACACCCACGUCAGCUCUGCGGAACGAGCCCACAGAGGCCGAGUGGGACACGCUGGUGUGGCGAGGGGCGUGUUGUGCGCUGCCUGUGGUGGCCCGGCCGGGAGAAGGCCACAAGAAGCCUGCCACUGCUAGCCCGGCUCUGAGGGACAGUCCCCGAGCUUCCCCUUCCCUCGCACAGCCAGGGAAGGCGGGCAGCUGCGGCCAAAGGGAACUACUGCACUUCUGCUGACCAGCCCAUUUGGGCGAGAAACGUUGGUCAUCGAGGAAACUUGUCCAGCAUUUCUCUGGAACCACGAAAGACACGACUCGCCACCAGCAGGGCUGAGGGGAAACCAGUCUGGGCAGCACGUUCUGAACCUGACCCUGAGGCCAGAGUUGGCCCUCACAGGACACGGAGGAAACAAGGAAGAUCAAACACGCUGAGCUGGAGAGACAGAGCAGCAGGGAAGGCGUUGCUGGCCUUGCACGCCGUGGACCCAGUGUGAUCCCUGGCACCACACGGGGCCCCCUGAGCCUGCCAGGAGUGGUCCCUGAGAGAAGAGCCAGGAGUCGGCCCAGAGCACUGCUGGGUGCGGUCCCCAAACGAAACAAACAGCAACAACAACAACAGAUUAUAUACGUAUACAUAUAUAUAUGUAUGUUAUAGAGUAAUCAUAAUGAGACUUUAUUUAUUAUUUAUUUAUUUAUUUGCUCUUUGGGUCAUGCCCAGCGAUGCUCACGGGUUACUCCUGGCUCUGUACUCAGGAAUUACUCCUGGUGGUGCUUAGGGGACCAUAUGGGAUGCUGGGGAUUGAACCCGGGUCGGCUGCGUGCAAGGCAAACACCCUACUCACUGUGCUAUCACUCCAGCCCCUUUAUAAUGAGACUUCUUAUAGUCUAGCCCACUGAUACACCUAAAGCAUUUGAUUUUUAACUUACUUGCUUGUAUUCUCCUAUAUAUAUUGUCUGUCCCUCUCGGAGAGCCCGGCAAGCUACCGAGAGUAUCCCGCCCGCACGGCAGAGCCUGGCAAGCUCCCUGUGGCGUAUUCGAUAUGCCAAAUACAGUAACAAUAACGGGUCUCAUUCCCCUGACCCUGAAAGAGCCUCUAGUAUGGCACUGUUUGGAAGGAUGAGUAAGGAAAAGCUGCCGAAAUCUCAGGGCUGGGACGAAUGGAGACGCUACUGGCACCUGCUUGAGCAAAUCGAUGAACAACGGGAUGACAGUGACAGUGACACAGUGAAUCAUGAGCCUGGGCCAUCUCCACCAGGAUCAAAGACCUGGCUGUCCCUGGAGGGAGGACUCGCCACUGGGGCAUGCCAAGGGCUGAGCAGAUGCCCCGACACUGAGAACCAGAGGGGCCCGAGGACUCAUGCAGGAAGAUAGGCUGGGCCGGUGGGGUGGGGGCCCGAGGUUGCCGUAGAGCUCAGUGCGGAGGAGAGGCCCUGUCAGGAGACCAGGCAGAGGACACAGCCCACCACCGCCACUCCAGGGGCCACCCCGGGCACAGAGCCCUCGGCAGGCCUGCCAGGAGAGGGUGGCGACCGUCCCAGUAUGGGGAAUCACAGUGAGAAACGCAGAAGUGGGCUCCACACAGUGGGCAAGACAGAAGGACCAGCCGGGCCAGGCGAAGGGCCCUAAGCGGGGUGGGAGACCUCGGGACUGGCGGGAAAUGGCACUGAGGCCAUCUGUAAGGAGGCACAGACGCGGCUGCGGCUCAGAGGGGUAAGGGCCGCACGCAGGUGCUGGAGCAGGAGUGUGGCCUCGGGCCCCGCCGCCUGGCACAGCCCAGCCUGCAGCUCCUCCACUGUCCGCAAUGUCCAGUCACAGAAGACAAAGAAGACACGUGCAGCACGCAUGCACAUGGGCAGGCACACGUGUACACAUGAGACUUGCAUAUAAGGUCAUCCGUGUGUGUGACAGGACAUCCGUGCACAGAAGGACACACUUGCACAAGUGAGGAAAUGCAUGCAUGCAUGUGAGGAGUGUGGACACGUAUGUCCAUGAGGAGACACAUAGUCUCCGGUCAGGGGACCCGCCCAGCAGGGAGAACCUGAAUCUCUAGAUCUGACCCUCAGGGACCCUCACUAGGUGCCAGAAGUGGGGGAGCAUGGGAGAGGGACACAGCCUUGCGAGCCUCCAGAAGCCCAUCUCCCCCCCGGGCUGGGGAAUCUGAAGGGACACCUUCCCUGAUGCCUCCUGUCAGGGCCCCCAAGGGCCCAGACGCCCCCACCACGGCCACGCUGCACCCUGGCUUGCUUUUGUCUGGUUUUUUUUUUUUUUUUUG
Molecule: long non-coding RNA, 3153 nt
Organism: Sorex araneus (European shrew)
Lineage: Eukaryota; Metazoa; Chordata; Mammalia; Eulipotyphla; Soricidae
Exons: 3
Source: RefSeq, a predicted model, not a curated record